RNAcentral lists this ribosomal RNA (952 nucleotides) under Gephyroctenus sp. RNAcentral describes it as "SSU rRNA". It matches the Rfam family "Eukaryotic small subunit ribosomal RNA", at positions 38 to 928 of the family's 1831-position model. The record is from RNAcentral. Lineage: Eukaryota; Metazoa; Arthropoda; Arachnida; Araneae; Ctenidae.
CAAAGAUUAAGCCAUGCAUGUCUAAGUACAUGCCGAAAACGAAAAGGCGAAACCGCGAAUGGCUCAUUAAAUCAGUCGUGGUUCCUUGGACCGUACCUCACUACUUGGACAACUGUGGCAAUUCUAGAGCUAAUACAUGCAGCAGAGCUCCGACCCGCACCGGGGCCGGCCCCCCCGCGGGGUCUCCCGGCCGCGGGGACGAGCGCUUUUAUUAGACCAAGACCGACGGCGGGCCCCCAACCCGGGUCCGUCCGAACCUCGGUGGUGACUCUGUAUAACUUUGGGCUGAUCGCACGGGCUCGUCCCGGCGACGUAUCUUUCAAGCGUCUGCCUUAUCAACUUUCGACGGUAGGUCACGCGCCUACCGUGGUCGUAACGGGUGACGGGGAAUCAGGGUUCGAUUCCGGAGAGGGAGCCUGAGAAACGGCUACCACAUCCAAGGAAGGCAGCAGGCGCGCAAAUUACCCACUCCCGGCACGGGGAGGUAGUGACGAAAAAUAACGAUACGGGACUCUUUCGAGACCCCGUAAUCGGAAUGAGCGCGACCCAAAUCCUCCAGCGAGGAUCCAUUGGAGGGCAAGUCUGGUGCCAGCAGCUGCGGUAAUUCCAGCUCCAAUAGCGUAUAUUAAAGUUGUUGCGGUUAAAAAGCUCGUAGUUGGAUCUCAGUUCCGGGGCAGGGCGGUCCUCCCGCCGCGGAGGCCGCCGCCCGCCCCGAACAGCCGGCCGGUUUCCCCCGAUGAUCUUCACCGGUUGUCCCGGGUGACCGGCGAGUUUACUUUGAAAAAAUUAGAGUGCUCAGAGCAGGCCGAGACACGCCUGGAUAAUGGUGCAUGGAAUAAUGGAACAGGACCUCGGUUCUAUUCUGUCGGUCUGCGGAACGACGAGGUAAUGAUUGAGAGGGACAGACGGGGGCAUUCGUAUUGCGACGCUAGAGGUGAAAUUCUUGGACCGU